GACGAACGCUGGCGGCGUGCCUAAUACAUGCAAGUAGAACGCUGAAGAGAGGAGCUUGCUCUUCUUGGAUGAGUUGCGAACGGGUGAGUAACGCGUAGGUAACCUGCCUGGUAGCGGGGGAUAACUAUUGGAAACGAUAGCUAAUACCGCAUAAAAUGGAUUAUCGCAUGAUAAUCAAUUGAAAGGUGCAAAUGCAUCACUACCAGAUGGACCUGCGUUGUAUUAGCUAGUUGGUGGGGUAACGGCUCACCAAGGCGACGAUACAUAGCCGACCUGAGAGGGUGAUCGGCCACACUGGGACUGAGACACGGCCCAGACUCCUACGGGAGGCAGCAGUAGGGAAUCUUCGGCAAUGGACGGAAGUCUGACCGAGCAACGCCGCGUGAGUGAAGAAGGUUUUCGGAUCGUAAAGCUCUGUUGUAAGAGAAGAACGAGUGUGAGAGUGGAAAGUUCACACUG
Molecule: ribosomal RNA, 459 nt
Filed under: Streptococcus sp. oral taxon 071
Lineage: Bacteria; Bacillati; Bacillota; Bacilli; Lactobacillales; Streptococcaceae
Description: bacterial SSU rRNA
Rfam family: Bacterial small subunit ribosomal RNA
Source: RNAcentral